UUUGUUUAUUGUCCCCCUCUGGGCUUCCUUACUGUAUACCUGGGCUCUCGUCUGUGGCCCUCGAGGUCUGCUUCCCUGCAGCAUCAGAUCAAGGUUGGAGUUGGCCCCUGAGGACCCCUGCUGAAAGGCUGCAGAAGUGCUGUGUGAUGAUGCGUGUCUCUGAGGAAACCUUUGCCAUCUUACAGACGUCACGCUGUCAGAUCCACUGACGGGAAUUAAAGGCUUUAGGGGGACGGUUGCAUCAGAUUCAGACAUGAAUGUGUUGAUCUGACCGAGAGAAGAUCAGAUGAAGAGCACCAAAACACCUCCACACAGGACUACGCUCGAUAUAUUACAUACUGUACACUGACAAAAAUGGGUGUUUUCACUCAGAAAUUGCUAGUACAUUUCACAAAUAAUUACAAAAUAACUGCUAAAAGUGAUUAAAGUGAUUAAAAAAAUAAAUAUGUGAAAAAAAAUACACAAUAGACAAUAUAAUGUAUGUGCAGGUGUGCUAUAUACAAAUAAUGCAAUGUCAGAUAUGUUAAAUCAAUAACAUAUGUAUAAUAAAUAUAAGUAUAGAUAGUGGAUAUUACAUAAGUUUUAUUGCACAGUGGGGAAAACAUUUAACUGUUCAUGAAGCAGAUGGCCUGAGGAAAUAGUUUUGUUAUCAUCAGUGAUAUACAUGGUUCACAGCAGUGUGUUUGGUGUUGUUUGUGUUCCUGAUCGUUCGUGUUCGUUUACUUCAUUCAGACAGUUCUCUUCUGAACGCGCACUGUGUGAAGCUCAUUAAUUAACGCGUUAGUGCAUGGGGUUAUGUGUGUUUUAUUCUCUACUAUAUCUUCAGGAGAUCGGGUUUCUCUCUGUUCUGCAGACUGUGUGUGUUAAUGCUUAUUUAUAGCUGAAACUGAAUGCAUGAGAAUAUUGAAUGACAGAUUCCUUCCAGACAGGAAUGUUGUGCGCGCUCCCUACGCCACAGAUGGCCUCCAGAACGCGCAACAGCAUUCCAGUCCGGAGCUCUCUCUCACACACACUCUCUCUCUCUCUCUCUCUCUCUCUCACACACACACACACACACACACACACACACACAAAGAUUAAAUCAUAUUUCUGUAUUUCUCUAUCCUCUGAAUCUCCUCUGAUCCGUCUGACUGUGAUGAUGAUGAUGAUGAUGAUGAUGAUGCUGGACUCCUGGAUGGACCUCAAUCUGAAGCAGCUGAGUCCUGCAGAUAAACCUUCAACACUGUCCUACAGAGCAAAGACAAACAUUAAUAUUCAUGAUCCUGUGCUUCAUUCGUCACGCUCACAGCAAACAGGAAUCAUGGGAAAUGGUUAUGAAUGUUAAAUCCAUUUUAUCUGAUCAGAAUUCUGUUUGUUUUACGCUCACGUUCAUAUUUACACAAAGUAAAGUUCAUAGUUUGACCUCAAGGUCAAAGGUCAGCUGGAGAUGUAUUAUUUAAAAGUGUUCAGCUAAAGAUGUCGUUAGUUGGUUGUGAUCUGCUCAGUGUCAUUCUUUGCCAUUCUUUCAUUGGUUUUCAUGUGUGUU
Molecule: long non-coding RNA, 1525 nt
Organism: Cyprinus carpio (common carp)
Lineage: Eukaryota; Metazoa; Chordata; Actinopteri; Cypriniformes; Cyprinidae
Source: Ensembl